This 1391-nucleotide long non-coding RNA is filed under the name Homo sapiens (human). Its description in RNAcentral is "HSALNT0029167". Lineage: Eukaryota; Metazoa; Chordata; Mammalia; Primates; Hominidae. The record is from RNAcentral.
GUCCAGACCCCAUCCUGCUGUCCUCAACCACCCUCCCAUGGCAGUGUCCAACCCCACCUCACCAGCUUUCUUGCUGCAAGGUCCCAAGGCCCCAGAGCUGGAGCAGCCCAGGACCCGAAUGAAGCUGGCUCAGUGGGUGUGUCUCAUUCAUGUCAGGGCUGGAGAAAAGAGCCACAUAUUGCGAGGCUCCUGCCCCCUCUGGCACUGGGCACCAGUCCAGAGCCCAGAGCGGUCCCCCCGUGAAGAAGGACACAUCCCAGCGCUCUGGAUGUGCUGUGAUCGAGCUAAAUCUAGAGAAAAAUCAAAGAUGGGAUGAAGAAAGGAAUUAAUGAAAGAAUCAGAAAAAAGGGCGGAUGUGCAAUCUUCACCUGUUUAUUCGGUAGAGGGUGCCAUCUUCAGGUAGCCCUUCACGUUGUACAGAAAACAAUGGAGACUUCUCCUCCUGGGGCAGUGGUGUCACCCUUCCUAAGCUACAGAGAUGUUGCUUCAACUUACAGCUCAGAUAACAAGUGCCACUUCCAGGCUAAAGGAAUCCACUCAGCAAACUCCCAGUAUGAAUGUUUCUGCUCUCGGCUGGAGAAACAGAAGAAGCAUUAAUGAAGGAGAGGGAUUCUACAGCCGCACAGUCCAAUAAAACUUUCUGUGGGGAUGGAAAUGAUCCAUUAUCUGUGCUCCCCAAUAUGCCAGUUGCUAGCUCCAAUUAGCUACCAAGCACCUAAAAUGUGGCUAGCGCAGCUGAGAAACAGAGCCUUUCAUUUUAUUUCACUUUAAUUAAAGAGUUCUAGAGCUCUUGCCUCUAGAGCAGUGCUUUUUAGUAAUGAAUGUCAUCACGGUAUUCCACCCAUGAGUGCUUCUCUUUCCCACGGCCCCACUUCAAUACCGCCCUUGCACUCCUCUACCACCCCUUUAUUAACCCCAGCCCCCUGUCCCCAAGUCUCACAAGUCCUUGGUGAGAUGGAGGCACUUCCAAACAGGAGCCAUGAUAUGAUUUGGUAAGCCAUUGGGAGCCAUUCCUCGGCAGUGUGGUUUCUGUUUCUGAGGAUCAAAUUGAAGAAAAUAUAAGGGAGCAAAUUCUACAGGUUGGACAAAGUCCCAGAGACAGCUCUUUCCCAGUUUUUAUCUUCUUUGGCAAUACCUCCCCCUCCAAUCACUGCCCUAUCAGCAUCUUAAAAGAUUUGUGUUUCAACCACUAUAAUGACUUCUUCACCUUCUGCUCUACUCCUCCAUCGAAAAUGCAAAAUCUGUUACCUAUUUUCUGUUCAGCUUCCUCAACAUCUCCAUGGUAUUUGAUUCACAGGAUUCCCUUAUGCCUCUUUGAAACUCCCGCCCUAUGGAAUAGUCUCCCUUACUCCUCUCCCCUCUCUUAAUAUUCCUUCACAGGUUCUCCCUUC